Non-coding RNA from Triticum urartu, 134 nucleotides. Lineage: Eukaryota; Viridiplantae; Streptophyta; Magnoliopsida; Poales; Poaceae. The record is from Rfam.
GUAGUACUCCCUCCGUCCGAAGAUACUUGUCAUCAAAAUGAAUAAAAAAGAUACAUCUAGAACUAAAAUACAUUUAGAUACAUUCCCUUUUAUCUAUUUUGAUGGUAAGUAUUUCCGGAUGGAGGGAGUAGUAA